This 23-nucleotide small nuclear RNA is filed under the name Arabidopsis thaliana (thale cress). Its description in RNAcentral is "snRNA_11540". Lineage: Eukaryota; Viridiplantae; Streptophyta; Magnoliopsida; Brassicales; Brassicaceae. The record is from RNAcentral.
AAGACUUGGCAAAUCGUCCGAGG